This 465-nucleotide ribosomal RNA is filed under the name Vreelandella stevensii. RNAcentral's name for it is "partial 16S ribosomal RNA". It matches the Rfam family "Bacterial small subunit ribosomal RNA", at positions 338 to 795 of the family's 1533-position model. The record is from RNAcentral. Lineage: Bacteria; Pseudomonadati; Pseudomonadota; Gammaproteobacteria; Oceanospirillales; Halomonadaceae.
CCUACGGGUGGCAGCAGUGGGGAAUAUUGGACAAUGGGGGGAACCCUGAUCCAGCCAUGCCGUGUGUGUAAAGAAGGCCCUCGGGUUGUAAAGCACUUUCAGUGAGGAAGAACGCCUGGUGGUUAAUACCCAUCAGGAAAGACAUCACUCACAGAAGAAGCACCGGCUAACUCCGUGCCAGCAGCCGCGGUAAUACGGAGGGUGCGAGCGUUAAUCGGAAUUACUGGGCGUAAAGCGCGCGUAGGUGGCUUGAUAAGCCGGUUGUGAAAGCCCCGGGCUCAACCUGGGAACGGCAUCCGGAACUGUCAAGCUAGAGUGCAGGAGAGGAAGGUAGAAUUCCCGGUGUAGCGGUGAAAUGCGUAGAGAUCGGGAGGAAUACCAGUGGCGAAGGCGGCCUUCUGGACUGACACUGACACUGAGGUGCGAAAGCGUGGGUAGCAAACAGGAUUAGAUACCCCGGUAGUC